Molecule: ribosomal RNA, 465 nt
Filed under: uncultured Comamonadaceae bacterium
Lineage: Bacteria; Pseudomonadati; Pseudomonadota; Betaproteobacteria; Burkholderiales; Comamonadaceae
Description: bacterial SSU rRNA
Rfam family: Bacterial small subunit ribosomal RNA
Source: RNAcentral
CCUACGGGCGGCAGCAGUGGGGAAUUUUGGACAAUGGGCGCAAGCCUGAUCCAGCAAUGCCGCGUGCAGGACGAAGGCCUUCGGGUUGUAAACUGCUUUUGUACAGAACGAAAAGCUCUUCUCUAAUACAGGGGGGUAAUGACGGUACUGUAAGAAUAAGCACCGGCUAACUACGUGCCAGCAGCCGCGGUAAUACGUAGGGUGCGAGCGUUAAUCGGAAUUACUGGGCGUAAAGCGUGCGCAGGCGGUUUUGUAAGACAGAGGUGAAAUCCCCGGGCGUAACCUGGGAACUGCCUUUGUGACUGCAAGGCUUGAGUGCGGCAGAGGGGGAUGGAAUUCCGCGUGUAGCAGUGAAAUGCGUAGAUAUGCGGAGGAACACCGAUGGCGAAGGCAGUCCCCUGGGCCUGCACUGACGCUCAUGCACGAAAGCGUGGGGAGCAAACAGGAUUAGAUACCCCGGUAGUC